This is a long non-coding RNA of Monodelphis domestica (gray short-tailed opossum), 1005 nucleotides long. The record is from Ensembl. NCBI's taxonomy places the organism in Eukaryota, Metazoa, Chordata, Mammalia, Didelphimorphia, Didelphidae.
AUACGGGUUUAAAAAAAGAAAUAACUUGACUGGCAUCAAUGAAUAGAAUUAACAUUUUAAAACAAUAUAAUUAACAUCUAAAAGAAAAAAUAUGCAUCCUGGGGUUGGGAAAUCCAGUUCAUAUUAAAAAAAGAAGCCAGGAAAGGAAUUAUUAUUGGACAUCCCUCUCAGGCAAUGGAAAUGAUAGAAAUCUCUCCACGACCUGUCUGCCUCUUUGACCAUAGGUGGCAGUUCCAAUUUUGCUCCCCAAGAAGUUCUUUCCUAUUGUCCAGCUGUUCUCUGCUGGAAUCCUUCUUAUGCAGUUCCACCUGUUGAGCUCUAUUUAUAUCGGAGCCAUCCUGGGACCACAAAGAGAGCUGGGUAGGAGCAGGUGUGGACACAGCAUGGACUCUUUAUUUAGUUCAGCUGAACUUUUUCUGGCCACGGAGGGAAGGAAGAGAGGCUCAGAAGAAAGGGUUCAAUCACCUGGGACUUGCACCGAUUAGCCAUUUCCCCAGCUUCUCCAUUCUGCUUGUCACAGAAGAAGAAGGCACUUGUUGAUGGAGUGCCCUUUGUCAAAGGAAGCUUUCUGAAGCUCAGGCUUCUCCUGAAGUACAUGGUUCAGAUCAGCAGCCUUUUUGAGUGUACUAAUCAAUGAACCAUACAGCAAGCCAAAGAACCUGGGCACCUGUGGCCAUUUAGCAUUAAACCCAUGUAGUCAGGCUCAUAGCUACCAAAAAACCAAACCCACCAACCCUGGGAAAGUUGAAAACCCUUGAGUAGUUCAGUCAAAGGAAGUUUGGGGGCAGCUGAGUGGCUCAGUGGACAGAGAUCCAGGCCUCAAGACCAGAGGUCCUAGGUUCAAAUCUGACCCGAGACAUUUCUUCAUUUUGUAACUCUGGGUAACUACUUCACCCCCAUUGCCUAGCCCUUACAGCUCUUCUGCUUUAGAAUCAAUAUACAGUAUUGAUUAUAAGAUGGAAGGUUAGGGUUUCAAAAGUAAAAAGUAAGCCCAGUAGCUAUGGC